This 1566-nucleotide ribosomal RNA is filed under the name Triticum aestivum (bread wheat). RNAcentral describes it as "partial small subunit ribosomal RNA". The record is from RNAcentral. Lineage: Eukaryota; Viridiplantae; Streptophyta; Magnoliopsida; Poales; Poaceae.
AUGGCUGCCGCGUUCUUCCCUCUGUCGACCUCACCGCCGCUCCUCACCCGCCGCCCCGCAGCAGGCCUCGAACACAGCCGCCGGCCGCCGCGCGGGCAGCAUGGCGGCUGCUCCGCGCGCCGGUUGCCGGCAGCAGCGACCGCCGGCGCAACACGCGGCCUGACACGGAGAGCCACGGCUGCUGCUGCGGCGGCGGCCCAAGGCCGCGCUCUGGCCGGAGAGGGCGCGGAGGAGGGGUCGCUGCAGAUGGUCCUGCUCAGCACCGCGGUGGCCGUGUGCGGUUCCUUCGAGUUCGGCACCUGUGUUGGGUAUUCUGCGCCGGCUCAGGCCGGAAUCGUCGGCGACAUUGGACUGUCCAAUUCACAGUAUGGCAUCUUUGCAUCUGUCUUGACAGUUGGUGCAAUGGUCGGCGCUCUGACCAGUGGCCGCCUUGCAGACACUCUUGGACGCAAAAUGACCAUGCGGCUGGCAGCAAUUGUAGGCAUUUUUGGUUGGCUUGCUAUAUACCUAGCCAAGGGUGCAACGAUGCUUUGCUUGGGACGAAUCUUGCUAGGCUACUGUACAGGGGUCCUUUCUUAUGUGGUACCUGUGUUCAUAUCUGAAAUAGCACCAAAGGAUCUCCGAGGAGGCCUUGCAGCCUCAAACCAGCUGUUUAUUUGUUCAGGGUGUUCAGCUUCCUACAUCAUUGGAGCAACGAUUCCGUGGCGCUCUUUGGUUAUCGUGGGAUUACUGCCUUGUGUGUUCCUCCUCGUGGGUCUUCCCUUCAUUCCCGAGUCUCCAAGGUGGCUGGCCAACAUCGGGAGAGAGAAAGAAUUCCGUGCUUCACUACAAAAGCUUAGGGGUGAAAAGGCUGAAAUAUCUGGAGAGGCUACUGAGAUUAUAGCGUACGUGGAAUCAGUUCAGGAUUUACCUAAGGCCAGGAUUCAGGAUUUGUUUCACAGGAAAAAUAUGUAUGCAGUCAUUGUGGGUGUCGGCCUGAAGGUCUUUCAGCAACUGGGGGGAAUAAACGCAUUAGGCUUCUAUACAAGCUAUAUCUUUUCAUCAGCAGGGUUUUCUGGUAAACUUGGGACCACAUUGAUCGGCAUUAUUCAGAUUCCAAUCACAUUACUUGGGGCCCUUCUCAUGGAUAGGAGUGGAAGAAGAACCCUUCUACUAGUGUCUUCAUCUGGCACAUUUGUGGGCUGCUUUCUUACUGGGCUAUCAUUCUACUUCAAGGCACAAGGAUUGUACACACAAUUGGUUCCUACAUUGGCUCUUUACGGCAUACUGGCAUACUAUGUGGCAUACUCAAUUGGAAUGGGACCUGUUCCUUGGGUUAUCAUGUCCGAGAUAUUCUCAAUCAACAUGAAAGGAAUAGCAGGAAGCUUGGUAACCCUGGUUAGUUGGGUUGGUUCAUUCGUGAUAUCGUAUUCGUUCAGCUUCCUUAUGGACUGGAACUCUGCAGGCACAUUUUUCUUGUUCUCAGCAGCGAGCCUGGUUACUGUGUUGUUCGUGGCAAGGCUAGUGCCAGAAACUAAAGGGAGAACACUAGAAGAGAUCCAAGAAUCACUAAUGGCCGGCACAUGA